UAGCUCAGCUGGAUAGAGCAACGGACUUCUAAUCCGUAGGUCGUGGGUUCAAAUCCCU
RNAcentral lists this transfer RNA (58 nucleotides) under Deltaproteobacteria bacterium RBG_16_54_18. Its description in RNAcentral is "tRNA-Arg". It matches the Rfam family "tRNA", at positions 8 to 62 of the family's 71-position model. From Rfam's summary of the family: Transfer RNA (tRNA) molecules are approximately 80 nucleotides in length. Their secondary structure includes four short double-helical elements and three loops (D, anti-codon, and T loops). Lineage: Bacteria; Deltaproteobacteria. The record is from RNAcentral.